UGCGAACAACGGCUCACUUCA
Molecule: non-coding RNA, 21 nt
Organism: Caenorhabditis elegans
Lineage: Eukaryota; Metazoa; Nematoda; Chromadorea; Rhabditida; Rhabditidae
Source: Ensembl